Long non-coding RNA from Oxyura jamaicensis (ruddy duck), 151 nucleotides. RefSeq lists it as uncharacterized. The transcript has 3 exons. The record is from RefSeq and is a predicted model, not a curated record. Lineage: Eukaryota; Metazoa; Chordata; Aves; Anseriformes; Anatidae.
GCGACCUCCAGCACCAGGUCCAUGGUCGCUGCUGGGGGACAGGGACGGGGACAUGCAGGGGGGCAGCUCCGGGGCAGGACUCAUGCCCCCAGGGAUCCCCCCAGAUCCCCAUGAAUCCCCCAAGGGUCCUCCCAUGGUAACCAAGGAGCUG